AUUGAACACUGGCGGCAUGCCUUACACAUGCAAGUCGAACGGUAACGGGCCUUCGGGUGCCGACGAGUGGCGAACGGGUGAGUAAUACAUCGGAACGUGCCCGAUCGUGGGGGAUAACGAGGCGAAAGCUUUGCUAAUACCGCAUACGAUCUACGGAUGAAAGCAGGGGACCGCAAGGCCUUGCGCGGACGGAGCGGCCGAUGGCAGAUUAGGUAGUUGGUGGGAUAAAAGCUUACCAAGCCGACGAUCUGUAGCUGGUCUGAGAGGAUGAUCAGCCACACUGCUACUGAGACACGGCCCAGACUCCUACGGUAGGCAGCAGUGGGGAAUUUUGGACAAUGGGCGCAAGCCUGAUCCAGCCAUGCCGCGUGCAGGAUGAAGGCCUUCGGGUUGUAAACUGCUUUUGUACGGAACGAAAAGCCUUCUUUUAAUACAGGAGGGUCAUGACGGUACCGUAAGAAUAAGCACCGGCUAACUACGUG
RNAcentral lists this ribosomal RNA (482 nucleotides) under uncultured bacterium. RNAcentral describes it as "partial 16S ribosomal RNA". It matches the Rfam family "Bacterial small subunit ribosomal RNA", at positions 30 to 507 of the family's 1533-position model. The record is from RNAcentral.